GUGCUUGCUUCAGCAGCAGCACAUACACCAAAAUUGGAGUGAUCCAGAGAGGAUCCGCACGGCCCCUGCGCAAGGACGACAUGCAAAUUCCUGAAGCACGUCUAUAUUUU
Small nuclear RNA from Callithrix jacchus (white-tufted-ear marmoset), 110 nucleotides. Lineage: Eukaryota; Metazoa; Chordata; Mammalia; Primates; Cebidae. The record is from Ensembl.